RNAcentral lists this ribosomal RNA (253 nucleotides) under uncultured bacterium. Its description in RNAcentral is "partial 16S ribosomal RNA". It matches the Rfam family "Bacterial small subunit ribosomal RNA", at positions 524 to 776 of the family's 1533-position model. The record is from RNAcentral.
UACGGAGGGUGCAAGCGUUAUCCGGAUUUAUUGGGCGUAAAGCGAGCGCAGACGGUUAUUUAAGUCUGAAGUGAAAGCCCUCGGCUCAACCGAGGAAUUGCUUUGGAAACUGGAUAACUUGAGUGCAGUAGAGGAAAGUGGAACCCCAUGUGUAGCGGUGAAAUGCGUAGAUAUAUGGAAGAACACCAGUGGCGAAGGCGGCUUUCUGGACUGUAACUGACGUUGAGGCUCGAAAGUGUGGGUAGCAAACAGG